RNAcentral lists this ribosomal RNA (459 nucleotides) under uncultured bacterium. RNAcentral's name for it is "partial 16S ribosomal RNA". It matches the Rfam family "Bacterial small subunit ribosomal RNA", at positions 338 to 795 of the family's 1533-position model. The record is from RNAcentral.
CCUACGGGAGGCUGCAGUGAGGAAUAUUGGUCAAUGGGCGGGAGUCUGAACCAGCCAUGCCGCGUGAAGGCGAGUGCCCUACGGGCGUUAAACUUCUUUUUUGCGGGAGCAAUAAGGGCCACGCGUGGCCCGAUGAGAGUACUGCCCGAAUAAGCAUCGGCUAACUCCGUGCCAGCAGCCGCGGUAAUACGGGGGAUGCGAGCGUUAUCCGGCUUUAUUGGGGUUAAUGGGUGCGUAGGCGGCCCUCCAGGUCAGCGGUGAAAUACCGGGGCUCAACCCCGGGGCUGCCGUUGAAACCGGAGCGCUAGAAUGCCGAUGCCGUCGGAGGAAUGUGUGGUGUAGCGGUGAAAUGCAUAGAUAUCACACAGAACACCGAUUGCGAAGGCAUCUGACGAAUCGGAGAUUGACGCUGAGGCACGAAAGCGUGGGUAUCGAACAGGAUUAGAUACCCGUGUAGUC